GAAUCUUGGACAAUGGGGGCAACCCUGAUCCAGCGACGCCGCGUGGGUGAUGAAGGCCUUCGGGUUGUAAAGCCCUUUCACCGGGGACGAUGAUGACGGUACCCGGAGAAGAAGCACCGGCUAACUCCGUGCCAGCAGCCGCGGUAAGACGGAGGGUGCUAGCGUUGUUCGGAAUCACUGGGCGUAAAGGGCGCGUAGGCGGCCAAGGCAGUCGGCUUUGUGAAAGCCCGGGGCUCAACCCCGGAGGUGCGGCCGAUACUCUUUGGCUGGAGGCCGGAAGAGGAGGGUGGAAUACCCAGUGUAGAGGUGAAAUUCGUAGAUAUUGGGUGGAACACCGGUGGCGAAAGCGGCUCUCUGGUCCGGACCUGACGCUGAGGCGCGAAAGCGUGGGGAGCAAACAGG
Molecule: ribosomal RNA, 402 nt
Filed under: uncultured bacterium
Lineage: Bacteria
Description: bacterial SSU rRNA
Rfam family: Bacterial small subunit ribosomal RNA
Source: RNAcentral